CCUACGGGAGGCAGCAGUGAGGAAUAUUGGUCAAUGGGCGGAAGCCUGAACCAGCCAAGUAGCGUGCGGGAUGAAGGCCCUACGGGUUGUAAACCGCUUUUGCCCGGGGAUAAAACGCUCCACUUGUGGUGGUCUGCAGGUACCGCGUGAAUAAGGGCCGGCUAAUUCCGUGCCAGUAGCCGCGGUAAUACGGAAGGCCCGGGCGUUAUCCGGCUUCAUUGGGCUUAAAGGGAGCGUAGGCGGGCGUUAAAGUCAGCGGUAAAAUCGCGCGGCUCAACCCCGGCCCGCAGUUGAAGAGGGACGCCUUGAGUGCACAACAGGCAUGCGGAAUUCGUGGUGUAGCGGUGAAAUGCAUAGAUAUCACGAAGAACCCCGAGUGCGAAGGCAGCCUGCCGGGGUGCGACUGACGCUGAGGCUCGAAGGUGCGGGUAUCGAACAGGAUUAGAUACCCUGGUAGUC
RNAcentral lists this ribosomal RNA (459 nucleotides) under uncultured bacterium. RNAcentral describes it as "partial 16S ribosomal RNA". It matches the Rfam family "Bacterial small subunit ribosomal RNA", at positions 338 to 795 of the family's 1533-position model. The record is from RNAcentral.